RNAcentral lists this ribosomal RNA (460 nucleotides) under uncultured bacterium. Its description in RNAcentral is "partial 16S ribosomal RNA". It matches the Rfam family "Bacterial small subunit ribosomal RNA", at positions 338 to 795 of the family's 1533-position model. The record is from RNAcentral.
CCUACGGGUGGCAGCAGUGAGGAAUAUUGGUCAAUGGACGAGAGUCUGAACCAGCCAAGUAGCGUGAAGGAUGACUGCCCUAUGGGUUGUAAACUUCUUUUAUAUGGGAAUAAAAUGUUCCACGUGUGGGAUUUUGUAUGUACCAUAUGAAUAAUGAUCGGCUAACUCCGUGCCAGCAGCCGCGGUAAUACGGAGGAUCCGAGCGUUAGCCGGAUUUAUUGGGUUUAAAGGGAGCGUAGGUGGAUUGUUAAGUCAGUUGUGAAAGUUUGCGGCUCAACCGUAAAAUUGCAGUUGAAACUGGCAGUCUUGAGUACAGUAGAGGUGGGCGGAAUUCGUGGUGUAGCGGUGAAAUGCUUAGAUAUCACGAAGAACUCCGAUUGCGAAGGCAGUUCACUGGACUGCAACUGACACUGAGGCUCGAAAGUGUGGGUAUCAAACAGGAUUAGAUACCCUUGUAGUC